AGAGUUUGAUCCUGGCUCAGAUUGAACGCUGGCGGCAUGCCUUACACAUGCAAGUCGAACGGCAGCACGGAGCUUGCUCUGGUGGCGAGUGGCGAACGGGUGAGUAAUAUAUCGGAACGUACCCUAGAGUGGGGGAUAACGUAGCGAAAGUUACGCUAAUACCGCAUACGAUCUAAGGAUGAAAGUGGGGGAUCGCAAGACCUCAUGCUCGUGGAGCGGCCGAUAUCUGAUUAGCUAGUUGGUAGGGUAAAAGCCUACCAAGGCAUCGAUCAGUAGCUGGUCUGAGAGGACGACCAGCCACACUGGAACUGAGACACGGUCCAGACUCCUACGGGAGGCAGCAGUGGGGAAUUUUGGACAAUGGGCGAAAGCCUGAUCCAGCAAUGCCGCGUGAGUGAAGAAGGCCUUCGGGUUGUAAAGCUCUUUUGUCAGGGAAGAAACGGUGAAAGCUAAUAUCUUUUGCUAAUGACGGUACCUGAAGAAUAAGCACCGGCUAACUACGUGCCAGCAGCCGCGGUAAUACGUAGGGUGCAAGCGUUAAUCGGAAUUACUGGGCGUAGAGCGUGCGCAGGCGGUUUUGUAAGUCUGAUGUGAAAUCCCCGGGCUCAACCUGGGAAUUGCAUUGGAGACUGCAAGGCUAGAAUCUGGCAGAGGGGGGUAGAAUUCCACGUGUAGCAGUGAAAUGCGUAGAUAUGUGGAGGAACACCGAUGGCGAAGGCAGCCCCCUGGGUCAAGAUUGACGCUCAUGCACGAAAGCGUGGGGAGC
RNAcentral lists this ribosomal RNA (766 nucleotides) under uncultured bacterium. RNAcentral describes it as "bacterial SSU rRNA". It matches the Rfam family "Bacterial small subunit ribosomal RNA", at positions 8 to 769 of the family's 1533-position model. The record is from RNAcentral.